Molecule: long non-coding RNA, 7318 nt
Organism: Panthera uncia (snow leopard)
Lineage: Eukaryota; Metazoa; Chordata; Mammalia; Carnivora; Felidae
Exons: 2
Source: RefSeq, a predicted model, not a curated record
GAUAUAUAUAUACUAUAUAUUUUCCUGUCUUUAAAUAUUCUCCAUUAGCAGGCCUUUUAAUGGCUGAAAAGUGCUCAUGUUAAUUCCCAUUAUACAGAGAAUUUAGAACAGAGCUUCUCAGACCCUUCUAUUUUACAAACAGUAGUUAGCCAUCAGAUGCUUGAUAUGCAACAGUCUGAACCAUGCCAGACCCAUAGGAAGGAUUCCAGAAAUGCUUACUGAUUAAGUGAAUAAAUAAAUGAACUCCUUCGACCCCAGGAGCACCCUAGCCCAAACACAACACCCACAUUGCCAUUGCACAGGUUCCUGCUGAAUGGAAAAGGAGGUGCUUGAACUUUAGAGCAAGUAGUCGACAACUCAGGACUCAGCAUUCUGGUCUCUGGUGUCGAGCACUGGCAAAGUCCUCAUUUUUCUUCAAAUUUUACAGCAAGUGUCCUUUUAGUAGGUACCAUUGUAGGUACUGUGGAUACAGAAAUGAAUGUGAUAAAAGAAUUACAUUCCUGUGAAAUUGUAUUUGUGUGUAGGUGGUGAUGGGGAGACAGACAAUAAAAGAGUAAAUAAACAUAAUAAUUUCAUAAAGUGAUGAAUGAGAACUAAAACUAUUAUAGCCACACAGCUUAUGUUCACGGUAAUGUGAUUAAACGAUUUGGUACUCAGCAUUAACAGGACUGCAAUAUUCUGCAAAAGCCGACCCCCAAAAGAUGAGGCUGCAAACAAUGUUCCUGUGUGUGUUAGGAACUUGCUGAAAAUCCAUUUAUCUGAACAGCAGACUCUUCACUAGCCCUCAUCAGGGUAGUCGUCCCCUUCUCUGAACAACCCAACUAGGCUGAAUAUUCUUCAAGUCCUCUCCAAAGCCCACACUUCACUGUGUUGAUCAGUCCUAGACUAUUAGACUAUUAUAUCACAUGCUUUGCACAGUUCCAAUCAGGACUCCACAUUUAAAGACCCACCUUAAACUAGACCCUCAAAACCCUAUCAAUAUUCCACCCUUGACCUCUUCCUUCUAAGAAGCUUCUAUGAUUCCAUCAAAGUAACGGUAUCUCUUACUGCACUAAGCAAUAAAUUUGGCUUUGUGCAAUCAGCAGGCUAUUUCAGUGGUCUGUGUAGGAACCGGCAGUCAACAUGAGUGGUAUGAAGGAGAGAAAGCAGGGCCAUUCAAUCCAUAGUGAUGGAGGUGGGGCUGGCAGUGGUGCUACUUUCAUUGGAAUAAAAAGCCUCUCAAAUGGUAACAUGUGAGCUGAGACUUGAAAGAAGAGAAGGAUCUGGCCUUACUAUAUCCUGGAGGCAAACCUUCCGAGCACUGGGAAUAGUAACAGGAGGAGGGUUGUCAGCAGAGCAAGGAGGUCAGAAGGUGGAGGGCAUAGAUGGAUGCCAGACGAAGAAGUUCAUUACAGGCCAAUGCAAGGGGUUUGGAGUAUAGGCUAAGCGUGAUGUUAAAAACUGGAGGAUUUAAGCAGGAAAGCGGCAUUCCUGCAUCCAUCCAUCUGGUCAGUGAACGUUCCUUGAGAUCCUUCUCUAGGCCCGUGUUCAUGGCUACAAACUGCUCUGGAGAUUGAGCAUCCUGGAGAAAGACACAAAUAGCCAGCACUCCGAAAACCAAUUCCCACACAUUGGAGGAAGUGUGGGAAGGAACCGGUGACCCAGAAGCCACAGAACCAGAGGAGGUGGACCUUCUUUGUCAUGCUUCUGGCUCCCACAUCCUCAGGGUUCCACAUAAGCGUGGUUUGCCUGAUGGAAGCUUCCAGCCUCUGAGGAGCACAAGGCACUACACUAAACCCAGGCCUUGGACUCCCCAUGGGCAGCCGGGUGGGUUACUUUACAUGCUUCAGGACCAAGCACAGUACCUGGCAUCGAGUAAGCGCUCAAUAAAUGUUGGAACUGAGGAUCUGCUUUCUAGGUGUCUAUACUCCACUCAAUUAAAAAGCUGUUUUGAAUUUCGUACAGAGCUACAUAUAUUAUUGAAACAUAAGGUGCCCACGGGUGGCUCACCAGGGUAAGCACCCGACUCUUGAUUUCAGUUCAGGUUAUGAUCUCACAGUUUGUGAGUUCGAGCCCCGUGUCAAGCUUUGUCUGCACUGAUGGCACGGAGCCUUCUUGGGAUUCUCUGUCUCCGUCUCUCUGCCCCUCCCCAACUCCUGCUUUUUUCUCUCUCUCUCAAAAUAAAGAAACUUAAGAAAAAAAACGUGAAAAAAAUGAGGAAGUCAGAGGAAAAGAAUGUGAAGGUAAGGAAAAUAAAAUAAAAUAAAAUAAGGGUUAGAGUAAAUAGUUAACACCCCUAAUGAGUAGCUUUGAAUAGAGGUGAAUUACAAAGUCUUCUGGGCAGCCAAUGAAAAGUGCACAAAGUUCAGCUGGUAGCUUCACAGAAACAGAAUUAGAACAAUAACAAGAAGCCAGGGCCUGAGGAAAGGCCCAGCUCUUUCUAGCACUGGGGCAAAGAAAUUUUUUAAUGAAUCUUCAUAAAGCGAUUUUCUGUGAGAUAGUAGAUAACACGCCCCUAAGACAACACAGUUGUGAGUUUCAAAUAGCUGUUUCUUGAAACACCCCCCCCCCCCCCCCCCGGAACAUUAUCUCGGCAUAUCUGAACAAAACUCCAUCAAGGAGACGGGGCCAUGGAGGAAUUUUGAUCCACGGUGUGCUGGUGAGGACACUUUAGAACAGUAGAGGGAUGGGGGAGGUUGGGGAGCAAGGGAACAUAGAGUUGGGCAGGACCCCACAGUGCUCGAGCUUGGUGGAGACGGGCACGUGCAUACAUCCUGCACACCUCUGGAAAGAGUAACUCAGAAUGCAGGGGACACUGGCCCCUCACGCCCUCCGUGGAGCAACCGUCUACCCUCCUAGAACAAAAUGAGGGGGAGAGAAGCCUCCAGAGAGGAGGGAUUUGUGAUGAGGGGGGAAUCUUCAUGAAGUGUUAUAGUAAACACCUCAUAUUUCAACUCUGUGAAGAAAGCAUCUCCCGGCAGACAAGCUCACAAUAUGUGUUCAGUUUGUGGUGGGGUCGGCCAGGGCCCACUGGCGGCUCCACCAGGGUCCCCCAUUUCCUGGGCCAUAAAAACAUGCUCCUGACUGAUGGCUGACAUACGAGGUGACAGACAAGGAAAUGGUUUCCCUUGGCUGCGUGUGUGUGCCCCAAUUUACAGCUGCCCCGGAAUUAGCAAGGGCGGAUGCUUCCACGGCUGUUAGGUUAAGUAUAAACUCCCAGUCGUUUCUUCAUGGGGGAGGAUACUUGGUUUGGAAAAGAAAAAUCAUGGCGAAAUCAAACAGGAAAAUAAUGUCUCUUUUUAAAAUGGUAUUCUUGAAUGAUUGUAAACACGGUUUAAAUUGGCUGGAUUUUCUACCCAGAUCUGUGUGUGCAGACAUAACCAGGGCUACGCUCUGAUGAUAUCAAGCCCUUGAGGUGAGAGUUUUAUCUUUUUCCCAAGUGCAUAUUGUCUUGUUGGAUCUUGACAUUGCUUGUAGAUGGGAAAAUGGAAGCUUGGUGAAGGUUAAGGGACUUCUCCAAGGCCACACAAGGUGGCCCUUAAAUCCUGUCUCCUGGCUUUCAGGUGAGAGCUAGGAGAUGAUGUUAUGGGGUCACCUGGCCCUGUGCCUGACGCUAGUAGUGGGUGCCCAAUAAACAUUCAUUUCCCCACCUCUUACUAUUUUUCUUCCCCACUUUUCUAUUAAAGAGAUGCUCUUCGAUUGAAGGCUAAGUCUUACCUAUGAUUUCCACUUGGCCCAUAUAUCUGCUUUUCCAUGAGUCCCAAGUGCAAGUGCUCUAAACACGUGUGCUUCAUGAAAUGCCUCAGAAAGCAGUGAGGGGUGUGGAAGGCCGUCAAGCCUCAAAUCUACAAGGUUGCCAUUAAAAUCCCUUCCUGGCCCUCUGACCCAAUCCUGUCGCUAACUGUGUGACCCCAGCCCUGUCACUGUGUCUCUCUUUUCCAUACAACAUUACAAGGGUUUUGUGAAAUGUGCACAUCUGACCUAUCUGAUGCCACAGCCUGCACACUCUGGUGAGGAAUAUGAGGCAAGAAAGACAUCCAUAAAUUCUCAGACAACAAGGUCAAGAAAAUAAAUUCUUUGGGUGAGAAUAAGGGGGUGGUGGAAUUUAUCAGCAUGAUUAUUGUGCUGGAUUUGUACUGAGUUUAGCUUAGAUAGGAAGGUCAAAAACCAUUCACUGUUUGGGAUACCCUAUGUGAUCAGGCUCUUUCAUUAGGCGUAUUUCAGGCUUAGGAAUACAUUUUUAACUUCAUAUUAUGUACGUAUUUGUUUUAAGUGCUAUUGUAGUCAGCGGAGGCGGGGGGAUAGAUGGUGGUGUAGGGCAAAGACACAGUUCCAACAAAUGAGGGCCCUGAAGAGCUUUUUCUCUAGACAGACAUCUCUUGAAGGUCUGCAUGUUGAAUAAACAGACCUAGCUUAGGGAGGGUUUUCUGUUGCUACAAAAGACUGUGGAAGAAAUAUAUCUAUGGCCAUUUUUGUAAUAGCAUAAGAAGAACAAAAAUACCUGUAGUGGUCUCAAGGUGAAAAGGAAAUUGAUCAAGUGUAAGAAAAAGACUAAGCUCCUUUCAAAGGAUCUCAGCAUCAAAGACUUUGAUCCCUGAGACAACUUCUAGCUGGCAAAUUCUCCAAAUAUGAUUACCUCCAAUAUAUGAGCUCAUUUCUCUGUACUUACUCCCAAAUGGUGAACAUCGAUUUGCGACAUUAAUGAAGUAAGUACCCAACUAUCCUUGUUCAUGAGCUAUUACCUCGGUAUUGAUUGUAGACUUAAUUGACAAUUACUUGAGUGGGCUGGGCUAUACUGAGCUUUUAUUAAUUUUCCAUGGUGAUACUCAUUACUAAACUUCAUUGCAAUUGUGUAACAAUGUACACUCCCCCCUGUAGCUCACUGAACUGGAAAAUUCCACUGGCCAUUUCCCAAACCUCUUUAUCCUGGAAAAUAAAGAAUUUUGCUAUUGCUAAAUUUGAUAUCAGGAUUCUAGACCUCGAUUCUGUGGGGAGAGAAUUGGCUGUGAAAAUAAAUAGAAUUUGCUAAAUUAUUUUUUCUUCACUGUUAUUUCAGAGAACAUGUUGUAUCCACGGACUUUAUUCUAUCCCUUGCUUCCUAGAGGGACAAUGAACUCCAUGCUACUGUAAAAUUAUAUUCAUUCUUCUUUCUCCCUUUUCUUUUUUUUUUUUUUAAAUUAAGGGUGUGGAGAAGGCAGCAAGGUAGAGGAGAUUUUGUGGUUUUAGGGAAGAGGAGUUUGGGUUUCUAGGAGUGGUAAAUCACAGGAAGGUAUAUAGAGAAGGGAAACUAAUGGUACAUAAGGUUAUAUAAUAAGGUUUAUUUAUGCAGACGCAUCUCAAUGCCAUCUCUGUCUCCAGUGAUAAGGGCUGUGCUCUCCUUCCUGGGAUGGGAGCAGGAAGCAGAAAACCAUCAGGAAGAAAAAUUUAUGCUCUGUUCUUACGCAGAUCAGUGGAGUGCAGAGAGCCCCCCUUGUGUCUGCCAUCUCUCCAUAGCCUUCAGCUUAAAAUAAUCCUUAUUCCCAAGUGGCAUAUUAGGUGGGACGUUGGGGGGGGGCAAUAUUCUGAUUCCCUUUAAAGGUAAUUCGGAAAUGUGACUUCUGAUACCUGAUUGAGCAGAGCAAUGGUUUUAAUGUGACAUAAAUUGAUUAGAGUUGGAAUUCACUUCAUUAUGAGCUAAUGAAUGGAGACAUUCUUGUAGUUUUCUGGGAGAGUCAGUGCUGCAACAGAGAGGUUUGUCCGUAAAGGAACUGAUGGAUAUUUGGUGUAGCUGUUCUAGAAACAUAACCAGUGAAUAUCCACAAAAUUUUCCGGAAAAAUAUUGAUUGGCAUUCAACAAAUUCAACUCUCAAUUAAUCUGACAAGUGCAGAUUUUGUUUGUUCUGUUUUGUUGACCAUUAUCCACUCAUGAGAAGUCAAUGAUAAGAACUCUAGCUCCUGUUGGAAAGGAUGUUUUGAAAGAGAAAAAUUAACAUAGAUGAGUUUACUUUGAGCACAAUCAUCUUUGCCUUGUAUGAAAGGCUAUGUAAUGUAGUGGAAAAUGCCCUCCACUAGGAAUCAAAAUUCUUAUGGUUUCAUGCUUCUGGACCUCAUUAUAAUAUGGCCUGUAUAACCUCUGAGGCACUUUCUGUGCUCUUAAACGCCACAAACUUGAUCUUGAGACAUUGAGUUCUGGGAAGGUAAAAUAAUGGAAAGAGUACUGUACUGGAAGGCCAGAACAUUGCUUUGAGCUGUUGUUUCCCCAGCCAGCUGUGUGACCUUGGAGAAGUCACUUCAGCUUCCUGUGCCUCACUUUUUUCCUCUGUACCAUGGGGUGCUAGUGACCCAGGUCACAUUCCUCUUCUCAGGUCCUUCAGUUCAACAUGGUAAGCAAUGGCUUCUGUUGUAGUUACUUGGUUUUUUUUUUUUUGGGGGGGGGGGUUGUUUUUGUUUUAAGUUUAUUUAUUUUCAAAGAGAGAGAGAAGGGAGGGUUAAGGGCAGAGAGAGAGGCAGAGAAUGAAUCCCAAGCAGGCUUUGUGCUGUCAACAGAGCCUGAUGCAAGACUCAAUUUCACAUGAGAUCAUGACCUGAGCUGAAAUCAAGAGUUGAACACUUAACCAACUGAGCCAUCCAGGUGCCCCAUGUUGUGGUUAGUUCUGUGCAUAGACUUGGUGAGGCUAUAGUGCCCAAUAAUUUAAUCAAAUGUAAAUCCAGGUUUCAUUGUGAAGAUUAUUUUGUGGAUGUAGUUGACAUCCACAGUCAGUUGACUUUAAGUAAAGGAGAUGAUGCUCAAUAAUGUGGGUGGGUCUUUUCCAAUCCAUUGGAAGUUAAGAACAAAACUGAGGUUUCUUGGAGAAGAAAUGUUCUGCCUCAAGACUGCAGCUUUAAUCCCUGCCUGAGUUUAGGUUUUUCCAGACUGUUCUGUGGAUUUUGGACUUGCCAGCUCCCACAAUCAUCUGAGCCAAUUUCUUAAAAUAAAUCUCUUAGCAUACACACACACACACACACACACACAUAUAUGUGUAUAUAUAUAUAUAUAUAUAUAUACACGUUUAUUUUAUUGGUUCUUUUCUCUGAGGAACACUGAUACAGCUCUCCAGGUGAGACAAUCAAUUUGUGGCCAUCAAAGGAAGAUGCACUGAUAUUUCUUCUACUUACUAUGGUAAGAGUAGGGAUAGAAACAUAGAGCACACGUUACCUCAGUGGCUAUAUUCAGCCCACAAACAUUUUUUCUCGGGCCCACAUAGUUUAUUUCUUUUGAAUUAGUUGACAACAUUUAAACAUGAGAUAUCACUUAAAGUGUGACUUUCUCUUUCUCUUAAGUAACUGGAGAUCUAGCAACCUGAGGCCUGUAUUCUUGCAA